CCAGGGGAUGCUGCCUGCUUUACCAAUGAAGAAUCCGAGGCUCAGGAAGGUCACCAGGAAGUCACGGACAGGACUGGGAUUCAGAGCCAGGGCUGCCUUGCUUCAGCUCCUCCUCCUGGUUAGAAAACAGUCCUGAAUUGCCUUUUUGCAGAUGGUGUCUUAGAGCUGAGCAUGGCUAACUGUCAGGCACUGUAAGAAGAACUGGGGGAGUCUGGACAUGUGCUGGCCACCAGUCCCCCACACUCAGGGCUCACUGUCUCUUGAGGGUGACAGAGGAUAACGCACUGUGACAAGCACCAUCACAGCAAAGAAACAGAAAAAGUCCGGAGCGGCAAGAGGAUGGGGUGAUUAAUUUUGCCUUGAGGGUAGAAGGAGGGGCCUUGAGGACAGUGGGUGCUCUUAAUGGACUAUUCCAACAACCAGCCACUUAUGGAUGAGGACACAGAGGCAGCUCCCAGAGCAGAGAUGCACAGAAGCAGUAGCAGUGGCUUGGCCCGAAGACUAAAGGAGUUGCAGGGCCAGUCUUGAAGCUGGGACUACACCUCUCGGGCAGAGGAGUGUGGGGACAGAAUGCGUAGGCUACAAGGCUCCCUCUGGGGCAGAGUCGGGGGUGGCUGGGCAGUAGGAAGCCAAGGCAGGUUGUUGCAACAGUCAAGAAGAAAGGUGAUGAGGCCAGAGGUGGUGGCCAGAGAGAUGAGGAAAUUCCUCCUCACCAGGAUGGCUGCAGGGUGAUACAGUCCUGGCCACUCACAGACAGCAUGGAUGCAGGAAGACAGACCACAGACCCACAACAACGAAGGUGCGUGCCGGUGUGGGCAGGACUCAGCCUUCCAGCACUUCAAGACGGGCCCAUGACAAGCAUUCUGUCCUUCUGACAAACCUUCCCCAUAAGGAAAAGGCAGAAGGACCAACUGACCUUCACAGAUGCUGCCACUUACCAGGCACUGUGCAGGGUGCUUUAGAGGUGCUAGUUCACUUAAUCCUCCCCUUUCAGAGCUGAGGAAACUAAGGCUCAGAGAGAGAAAUUAAAGUGUCCCAGGUCAGCCAAUUCAGGAAGUGGGUGCAUCCAGGGAGGCUGGUUUCACUUCCCCUGGCCUGGUGCCCUGAGUGCCCCACCCCUUGGCAUCUGAGCAGUGUGGCUCCCAUGCCAACUCUACAGGAAUGUCAUGUCUGGGGGCAAGUGGCCCCUUGCAGGGGCAUCUGCUGUGCAGGUCCAGGAAGGUAAAUAAAGUUCACUGAAUACAAGAUCCCCCCAUCCCAGCAGGAGUCCAGCUUGGCCUCUCCCAUACUGUCCAGGCAGAUGUUGGAGGGAAGAAAAGAGGCCUGGCCUCCUGUUGGUUUCUGCCUCCUCACCUCUG
RNAcentral lists this long non-coding RNA (1358 nucleotides) under Homo sapiens (human). RNAcentral's name for it is "HSALNT0098699". Lineage: Eukaryota; Metazoa; Chordata; Mammalia; Primates; Hominidae. The record is from RNAcentral.